GUAGGUGAACCUGCGGAAGGAUCAUUAUUGAAAUAAACCUGAUAGGGUUGCUGCUGGCUCUCUAGGGAGCAUGUGCACACCUUGUCAUCUUUACAUCUCCACCUGUGCACCUUUUGUAGACCUCUCCAGGUCUAUGUUGCUUCAUUUACCCCAAUGUAUGUUAAUAGAAUGUUGCAUUUAUAAUGAAACCUAUACAACUUUCAGCAACGGAUCUCUUGGCUCUC
Molecule: unclassified non-coding RNA, 224 nt
Filed under: rhizosphere metagenome
Description: partial ribosomal RNA internal transcribed spacer region
Source: RNAcentral